GAUGAACGCUGGCGGCGUGCCUAAUACAUGCAAGUCGAGCGAAGAGACGAGGAGCUUGCUCCUCUGACGUUAGCGGCGGACGGGGGAGUAACACGUGGAGAACCUACCUAUAAGAAUGGGAUAACUUCGGGAAACCGGAGCUAAUACCGGAUAAUAUAUUGAACCGCAUGGUUCAAUAGUGAAAGACGGUUUUGCUGUCACUGAUAGAUGGAUCCGCGCCGCAUUAGCUAGUUGGUAAGGUAACGGCUUACCAAGGCAACGAUGCGUAGCCGACCUGAGAGGGUGAUCGGCCACACUGGAACUGAGCCACGGUCCAGACUCCUACGGGAGGCAGCAGUAGGGAAUCUUCCGCAAUGGGCGAAAGCCUGACGGAGCACCGCCGCGUGAGUCAUGCAGGUCUUCGCCUCGUAGAACUCUGUUAUUAGGGACGAACAACUGUGUAAGUAACUAUGCACGUCUUGACGGUACCUAAUCAGAAAGCCACGGCUAACUCCGUG
RNAcentral lists this ribosomal RNA (497 nucleotides) under uncultured bacterium. Its description in RNAcentral is "partial 16S ribosomal RNA". It matches the Rfam family "Bacterial small subunit ribosomal RNA", at positions 28 to 507 of the family's 1533-position model. The record is from RNAcentral.